This 3332-nucleotide long non-coding RNA is filed under the name Homo sapiens (human). RNAcentral's name for it is "HSALNT0353176". Lineage: Eukaryota; Metazoa; Chordata; Mammalia; Primates; Hominidae. The record is from RNAcentral.
ACCAAUUCCGGACACAAUCUCAGCACUGUGGGAGACUGAGGCACCUGCCAAACCUGCACAGAUUCCUACAGCAGCCAGUUCGCUCUGUCUCGAGGCUUCAGAGGAACACGAACUUCUCUGAUGGAAGAGCCUUGUUCUAGAAGGGAGUGAAGCCUAGGUCUUUCCUGAGCACACAGAAGAUCAAGACCACACUCACUGACUUCUCAUAGUCAAGCAAUUUUGGCCAAUUAAAUGUCAGUUGGAAACUCCUGUGUCAGCUUCUCUGUGGCGGUGAGAAGUCCCUGUGUGACAUCCCAACUCUCCCCUCACCUGCGUUGGCAACCAAGAAAGCCUUGUGUUGGAGGUGGGGCCACAAGUUUAAAGCUAAGUUACCACCUCGAGGGCACAUUCCUGGAGAGCUUCCCAGGCCCACAGUGGCACGUGUAUGAGUGACAGAUCCACUUCUUUAUUACCUUUUUGAAGAACAGGAACCUUUGUCUGGAAAUUCCACAAGUAUGCCUUUUGCAAGAUUAAAAGUGCCACAAAGAACAAAAAUGAGCCCAGGACCAGAUGCAUGUUAAAAGCCAUCAGACACGUUAAGUUUCAUCUCCAUUGACCUGAGCCAGUUGGAGUGUGAGGCUUCAGAAUCGCCUUCCAACUCUCUGUGCACUGCACCAGCUGCUUCCCAUAGACUCCUGGUAAAAUAUAGAGCGGAAGGAAGAAGAGCCACUACCCAUAACAUCAGUGGCUGCUAACUAAGGAGUGUUUUGACAUGCUGGUACAGCCUAUCCUCAGCUUUCCAGAAGGUGGAAUCUUGUGAUAGUGGAAAGAAGUAGAAGAGAUGAAGUACCUAUGACUCCAGGAUUUGCCAGUGAAAGAAGUCAACAAUAUUUUAACUUUGAUCUUAACCAAAAGGCCAAGAAGUGAUGCUAAUAUUUUCAUAUACUACGACAGUUGCAGACACACGUCUAUCAUAGCUGGGUAGUAAUCCAGGCAACUCUGCCACAAGUCAUGGGCUCAGCCACCAGUCCACGAAGUCUCCAGUCACACAUAUUGCUUCGGACUAUUCUCUAUCCCCAGUUGUCAAUUAACUAAAAUAUUAAAUGAGGAUGCCAUGGAGUCCCCCAACUGAUUUCAUAAAUUUGGUGUCACAUUGUAAAUCAAGCAGCUGCAGAGUGGCUGGGACAUCUGUUUGGUUCUGUUAUUCUCUUUACUCCAAAAGGAAACUAACUCCAAAAGAAGAAAACCUGAUGUCUGAGCUGAAUCCUAAUCAUGAAGAUGUUUUUCCACCAUUCCUGUCUGUGUUUUUCUACCAUUCCUGUCUGUGUUUUUCUACCAAAGUGUGCUCUUGAAGUUCUGCAUUUCCCAGGGUGUGGUGAAAGAAGAGAAAAAAAUGUCCAAGAUGACUUCAACGUUCUGACCUUGAGUGGCUUGAGUGAAUGGAGUUACAACUGUGCAGAAAGAUUCAGUAGAGAGUUUUGGAUUUAUGCACCAGUAAGGGGAAAACUGAACAGCUGCAGAGAGCUGUAACUUUUAUAGGAGAUUAAUCUAUAAGAGAAGACAGCAAACUACAGCCUGUGUGUCAAAUCCUACUUGCCACGUCCACUGAAAGCUAACUACACUGGAACACUCUCAUUUCUGCAAAGAAAAAUAUCAUAUCCCAGGAUGAAAAGGAGGAGGAAGAGGAAAGGCUAACUUAACAAGAAGCUCUUUGACAUUCUUGAAUUAGACACCCAACGUAGUCCACGCAGUACGGAGGAUGACUUCAGAAGUGCAAUUCUGAUAUGGACUUUGUCUCCCUAAGGCUUUCAGUUCCUCAUAUUUAGGAUAAAACAGAAGUUUAUGUAAAGCCAAGGGAGAGGGUCACCGGGAGAGGGAAGGAGGAACAGCAGAAGGAGAGGUCCACACAUGAAAAUACUUGGAAGCGCCCCAGGGCCUAUCAGAUGCAGGUCUUGGCGGAAAUUACCAAACAUACUUUAGACAGGCUGCUGUGUUGCUGAGUGUGGACUGGCCUCAGGGCCUGCUGAUCAAAGCAAAAGGAAGCAGUGAAAAAAACAUCACCAUGUCUUCUUAGAGUCUAAUCUGGGGGCAAGAGGCCAGCAUGCACAGUUGGUGCUGAUUUUCUUGGGCGGAUAGAGGAAAGGUGUAGGCGUGGCCAACAUUUGAGCAGCAUGUGGUUCCUCUCACACGCCAUGCUGUUUCCGGCCUCCUUGCAUUUUACUCAUGCCAUCCUCCUGGUCACUUCUUUGAGAUAUUAAGUGCAUUCUUUAGGACUCAGACUCAGCUCAAGGGUCAGUGCAUCCAUGAAGCCUUACCUGGAUCCCAGAGGGAGCUCUGUGCUCCUCCUUUGUCUCCUAUAGGACCCAGUACAUGCGUCCAGUAUUAUCCAUACACACUGAAAUGAUCUAGCAUGUGUCUUCCCAUAGGAUUUCAAAUUCUUAGAAUAUAGGAGUGAUGCCUUCUUCCUACUUAUAUUUCCAGUGUUAACAGUGCCUGUCAAUUGACUUGAAGAUAACUAAAAGUCUGGUUGUUAAGGGCUGCUUCCCACCUCCAAAUACUUCCCUGGAAGUCAUUGUAUGGGCACUGACAUUGGUAGGUCUCCACUGGCUUGUAGAUGCUUCUGAUUAUAAGGUAGUCUCAGAUGCCUUCAGAAAGUUCUAAGACUGUAUAAAACAUUUCCUUCACAACCAAUAACUGUGUAUUAUUGUUCGUGUAAUUCCAGAAGUUAUCCUUUUGAUAGAGAGCAAUUACUUUAUUGAUUGAGAGUUAGCUAAUUAUGUAAUAAAGGUAAAGAUUUGCAUAGAGAAGUGUAAGAGACAUGGAGAAGAUUCUUGGUGGGUGGUGAGGGCGGGUACAUUUACACCAGACCAAGACUGAUCUGGCUGUGGCGCUGGAGAUUAAACUGUUUAAAUAUGGGAUCCUAAGAAGACUUCUGUGCAUUCUAGACUUCAAGAGACAGAUUGCAUUUUUUUUUAGGAAAUGUAGAUAAAACCCUUUGACUGAAUGACUCUAGAAAAUAAUACUGAUUUGAGAGAGAAAGGAAAUUCUAAAACAAAAUCCUGACAGCAGAGGCAUGAAUGAUCCUCAUGAGGAAGAAAUGAGACUCUGCUUAACUACACUGUAGAUUUUGGUGUGGAAGAAGAUGGAAGGUGGGUAUAUAGCCAAAUUUUGAAUACAAUAGGGCAGCACAAAACUGUGACAACAGUGGCAGAAGGACUGAAGUACAGAAUGUGUGAAAGUUGUUGUGAAAUAAAUAGAGAGCAACAGAAAAGGACUAUUUGGGCUGGGCAAUGGUAAUCCCAGAACUUUGGGAGGCUGAGUCAGGUGGAUCACCUGAGGUCAGGAGCUCAAGA